CUAAACCCAUUCUUAGAGUUCAAAACCCAAACUAUAGAAAGCUACCAUUGUUGAGCAUCAAAAGCUUACCUUAGAGCUUGCUCCAAUGGCCUAAAGAGGAAGAAGAAGAAGAUGAAGCCCACUUCUUCAAGCUUUCUCCUCCAUCUCCACCUUCUUGCUCCACUUCUUAGAGAGAGAAAGAGAGAGUUUUAGAGAGAGAGAGAGGGGCUACGGUUGAGGGAAAUGAGAAAGGGAGAGAGCCAUCCCCUCUCUUUGUCUCUAAGUCAUGUAACAAAUACAAUAAGCCCCCUCAACUCUUAGCCUCUCAAACAGCCCAAAAUGGGCAUUUUCGCGCUCGGGGACCGGUCCUUGCGGUGAGAGACCGGUCCCCGAAGGACCAGAAUUUCAGCAUUUUUAGGACUUAGCCAAAUUUCAGCCUUUUUCACCGUUUCUUCUCCGUUUUCGCCCGUUUUCGCUCGUUUGACCUCCGAUUCGUUUCAAAUCGAACCGAGCCUCUUCAAACAUGUUUUCGAGCAUGUUUUUAUUAUCUUUUCAUCCACGCUAAUGCCGGAUUUAGCUCACGGCCCAACAUGGCCUUUCGGCUCCGUUUUAGCGCCUACGCACACCGAAACCCCCGAAUGCUUCCGGGCCUCACCGAAUUUCACCGGAACCUUGCAAAUGGUCUUCCAACCAAAUGUACACCGUAACUUCAUGAUUUUAGAAGUCCGAUACCUUACAUCCACCCCUCCUUAAAAGGACUUUCGUCCUCGAAACUAACUCACCUCAAACCCAAUUCACACCCUAAUUCUCUUUAUUGAGUGACAAGGGGUACAGUGCACUUUUGCAUCCCGGAGUGGCCUUGCGCUUAUUGGAACUAUCCGAAGGCCCACUACGGAGGACGUGAGACUAAAUUCGCUCACAUUCGCUGUGUGUAAGUCCAAAAGUGCAUUACGGGUCUCCGUCAUUCUGGGUGGUAGCGCAAGUCGAAAUUCAACGACUCUACGCCCUCCACACCAUUCACUAACUGGCCCACUAAGGCCGAACCACUUCCUUCGAGACCGGGACUACCCGCUAUCCUCAUGGUGUGGAGCUAUCAAGAACGCACCAAUAGUCAUAUGGUCCACCACCACGACACAGCACACACGGGUAAGCCCUCUAGAAUCACCUGAGUGUCAACAAAGCGGCGCUCCGCCACUUUGGCUAUCCAAGAGUUCGUAUUUCUCAUUUACGACUCUUCGUCACUUUCACCAUCCCUCUAGGGGUCACACUCCAAUUCGAUCACCAAUAUCGCUUAGAAGCAAUAUCAUUGGUGCAUCGACCCACUGCGAGUGCUCCAAUCGCAUUUGGAUCUUUGCUCUAUUGAGAGAUGGCCUACUCCGGCGCAUCUCGAAUCUUAAUCCACAAAGAGCAUUAUCCUCAAGCUCUCCACCCGCGUUCCAAACAUGACACCAAGCCCGUCUGGGCAAAUUUCACGCUCGGGACCGGUCUCUCUCCUGCCUGGGACCGGUCCAGAGGACCUCCUCAAUCUCACGUGUUCGGGAACCGGUCCUCUGGCCUAGGACGGUUGCCUCGCGCUUGCGCACACCCUCAGACCUCGAGGCAACCGGUCCUUCCCUCCUGGACGCGUCCCGAGAGCAAGCUCGCGUAGACAACCGUUCCGCGAACGCGGUCCCUCCCACCAGGACCCGAUCCCCGAGAGCAAGUUUGCCAAGUGCAAAUUCUUGCACAUUUCUCUCGCGACUCCAUUGAAUGCACUUUUGGUGCAUUUUGACUUCUUCGGCUUUCCGAAACACCUCACUCGACAAUUAGUCGAUUUGAGUGAAGUCCAACUCUCAUUUUGAGAAUUCACUUCCUUGCACCAACUCCUCCACGGAGUUACUGGCUAAACCGAUUAUGUCGGCUUCCACAGGUGGACCAACAGUCACCAACACCACGUAGGCCUACUGCCCCCCAACCCACAUCGCUCACAAAUCGAGGCUCUCGCUCGCAUCGUAGACCCAAUCAUCAUUGGGCGAAAUUCUCAUUGGAGAAUUCGCACACACUCCAACUAGGAGCAACCAAGACCCCAAACCACGUCAAGUCCUCGGGUUGGGUCACAACCGCACUCUCAGUGCAUCAUCAAUUUCACGAUCCAACACGUGGCAUUCCACACUCCAAGGUCUAAGCUCGGACUACCGUCCUGACCAAAACUCUCCGCCCUACCUAUAGGUAUUAGGCCGCUGCCUCUCGCAGCUGACUGCGCCUGCCAAAUGGGCCCAGGCUCCACAGUCCACGAAGGGUCCAGGCACGGGUCGUCCCCAAGCACUACCCGCUAACGUCGUCCUACACGACACACUCUACAGAGCUACGCACUCUACCGGCUCCUAGGCACCUAAUGCGAGCCACUAGCCCUACGAGUGAUCUAUCGCCCGCUUCACACUUAUGUUAAGGAUUUUAUAGGUUGGCGAAUUUCGUAAAGUUGUUUGGAGUCUUGAAGAGUUGAUCGCAGAAGUUAUUCAAAUUGGAGAACGAAGACUCAUUCGGAAAGCUCGACACCUAAGGUAUGAAGAAAAGAUCAUUUGUGGUGAAGAUACCUAAUUAGAAUAAGUUCAGAAGGCUUAGAUUGCUUUAAAAUAAUUUUUCUGAACUUUCAUGUGUUUUGGGACCGGUCCCUGAAGUGGAGAGACCGGUUCCCCUAAGGUCCUCACUCCGUGAGUUCUGAUGCAACCGGUCCCCUGAGAUGAGAGACCGGUUCCCGAAUCUUGGUAGUUCUGUCGCGCAGCGAGGGACCGGUCUCAAGCUUGAGAGACCGGUUCCCGAACACUGAGUUUUUGAACACGCAGAGAGGGACCGGUUCCUCACUUGAGAGACCGGUCUCUCACAGACCGGUCUCCUCGAGAAGACCGGUCUCUGAGGACGACACAGGUUUUUAAAAACGACUUUUUGCAAUCCUAGUCUACUUCUAAGUCUUCUAAACAUAUAAAUAAGCUAUGUGGGUCAUCUAAAAAUUAAGGCUUUGAAUAUUUACCAAUUCUAAACCCUAGAAACUUAUUUCUCUCCGUUUCAAUGCUUAGAUUUACAUGAUGAGUUUCUAGCAAUCAACAUCGGCUUGAUUCUUCGUUGUUACUCAAUAAUUCUUACGAGAAUCAAGUAGAUGUUUGAUAAAAGGUGAACUCCCAUAGCUUAUGGUUUUCAAAAGUUAAAUCACCACAAAUCUUCGAUUCUACAAGCUCCGGAAGGAGGUUCGGCGCGUGGAUCUCGCGUGAAGCCGAGGAUUCGGUGGACGCUUCGAGGAGUUGAUGCAUUGACGCUGCGUGGAGUUGCAGCAAGGUCGAUUGGUGGAUUCCUAUCGAUCGAGGACCGGCAAAGAUCACCGUCAACAAGAAAUCGGUAAAUUGAGUCGUGUAAUUUCGUCGAAAUCACUUGUACUCGAGUUUUCUUUCUGGAUUUUCUUUGCGUGAUCGGUCCCGUGGGUUUUUCACUCCGAUUUGGAGUUUUCCCACGUUAAAUUCUCGGUGUGCUGUUUUAAUUUUUGCUACUUUAUUUUGUUUGCAUCGGGUUUUUCGAGUUUGCCGGAUUUACACCUAUUCACCCCCUCUCUAGGUGUUACUUACCUUUUAGAUCCUUGGGAUCCAUAUCUCACAAGUGGUAUCAGAGCGGGUAUAGGCUGUAAUACAUGGCUGAGGGCGGUAACAUCAAUCGACCCCCGCUCUUCGAUGGCACUAACUACGCCUAUUGAAAAGUCCGUAUGAGGGCGUUCCUUAUUGCUAUUGACGAGCGGGUUUGGCAAGCCAUUGAAUUCGGAUGAAAAAAUCCUACCGAAGUAAUCGAGAAUGUUACUGUGCCGAAACCUAGAAAUAAAUGGACGAAAGAGGAAAAUGAACUAUCUUCGUUCAACGGAAAAGGUAUCAAUGCUUUAUUCAAUGCUUUAAAUCAAACUGAAUUUUCUCGCGUCUCGGCGUGUGAAACGGCCAAAGAGAUUUGGGACACUUUGCGAGUUACACACGAGGGUACAAGCUUGGUUAAGAUUCAAAAAUUGCAAAUGCUUACUAGUAGAUUUGAUUCCAUCCAUAUGGAAGAACAUGAAUCUUUUACCGAGUACUAUACUCGUUUGCAAGACAUUGUAAACACGUGUGCUAACUUGGGCGAGAAAAUCUCCGAUUUCCAAAAGUGUAUCGAAAAAUUUGAGAACCCUUCCGAACGAUUCCGUCCUAAGGUUGCGCUAUUUGAAACGGUCAAACAUUCCUGAUGAACUCAAAGUGAAGAAUUAGUAAGGUGCUCUUCAAACUUUAUGAAAUGACUUUUCCUUCUAAUUCGUCUUCUUCCAAGUCUUUUUCUAAAGCUUCAGGGAUGCUCUAAAAUCAACAAAAGGAGAUGUCACUUCAACCUUCAACAGAUUCAGAGUCGGAGCAAAGCUUGGAGGACUUUGAGAAACAACUUGCACUUCUAACAAAGAAGUUUCGUCGAAACUUUAGAGAAGAAGUUCCUUCCAAGUCUACUUCAUCCAAGACAAACAAAUCUAAAGGGGUUCGUCUUCUUCUUUCUCAACAAAAUACAAGAAUUGAAUAACUCUCAAAAGGACUCCACAAAAGAGAAGAAAGUGGUAUCAGAGCCAGAGGUCACGGGUUCGAUUCCUGCAUGCUGCAAAUGUGGCAGGUGCUGGAGGGGGGAUUGUUGGCUGUAAAUGAGGCCAGCAUCCUGCCUGUGGCGGGAGCCAUGUGGCGAGUCAUGUUCGAAAUGGCGUGAGUGCUGCGGUUGGGCCGAGUCAUGUUCGAAGUGGCGUGAGGCCAGGUGGGCCGAGUCACAAUCGAGACCCAUGGGCGCUGUUUCUGUACGCUUAAGUGAAUUGGUUGCGUAUUUCUAACAGCUCGAGCUUUUGGGAUUAAUGGUUAGCGCCAACGAUCCGACAACUUAGCCCUGCUAAAGUGCUACUGCCAAUUCACUCAAGCGGCUGAAUCGAAACCGCACUUCACGCGUAACUACAUUCGAGCGCUCUACGUCUCUACAGCGUCUCACACGAAGUCUAGCAUCAGGCAACUUAGCCUAUGCACGCCGGCCACACGAGCAACAACUCGUCCACCUCAGUUCGAGGUACUACUAGGCCCACAGGCCAAGUUCGGCGCUAAUCGACCAAUUUCGCAACAGUGGUUCAUCACCAUUGUUCGAUCUAUCGAGUCCACGUCGGAAAUACUCUUGGGAUAUCCGGGUGUCCCCAAACAUCAAGGCUCAACUCUUGCAAUAUCUAAUCUAUUGCAUCGAGAGUUCUCUUAUAUUUUCGAUUUCCAUUACGAGCCUCGUUUCUUAUCCAAAAUCACCACUAGCCAUUUGCUAGUGCCCAAUGGCUCUCUACCUGCCCCAGCAGGCGCCAUACUCUCAUCCUGCUAGCAUGCUCGGGUACCUACUUACUCGACCACUCGGUCCCUACUAUGUAAUGUAGUAAUAGUAGUAACUGACCAUAUGAUAAAUGCAUGCUAUGCAUCAACUUGAGAUCAUGCAAAGUAUAUGCUUGCUCAAUUAAUUCAUACCUGCUACAAUGACGUCAACAACAGCAGGCACCGCAACUCGGGUCGCUUAUCCAUGGCCACUUGGUGCUCGUCGCGAACCCUCUGAUUGCAUUGUUCUCAAUGGCCGCUCUCCUGACAAUGCCGCAGGUGGCACACCUGCAGGCUGUCCCAGAGAGGAAUAGGCCAUCGCUAGCGUCAAGGCCCGGCUAUCGCCUUUGCGGACACUUGUCCCGCACAUGGCCCGGCAGCCCACACCUGAAGCACUUGCCCUCACGCUGUUCACACUGCUGUGGGCAAUGAGGGCCCCCCCACAAAUAAUACAUCUCGCUGAGGACCAAAUGUGGUAAGUCCCCGGAGCUCGGGAUCGCGAGCGCGAACUUAUCAAAGUUCGUUGGGAACUUGACUGACCAUCAUGUCCACUCACUGGCUGUCCUUUCCCCUUUUCCUUGUAGUAUGCCUCGCGCUCCUCCCGCAGGGAUUCCUCACCUUGUUCUAUUCACAAGGCCCGAUCUUGGACGUCGGCGGAAGUCUGCAACUUAUGUGCAAGCACAAUCUUGCAAAGGUCUGGCCGAAGUCCACGCACAAAGCAGUCGGCCAUGUCCUUGUCAUCCCGCGCUACGUUCGGGACGCAACGCACGACACGGGAGAAUUCCCGCUCGUAUCGCCUCACGGUGCUGUUUACUUGCCACAUCUUCGGAAACCUUUCUGAAGCUUCCUCGCUUACCAUCAGGGAAUCGAACGGAGAAUACCAAUUCCCGAACUUAUCCCAGACCAUAGGAGGGAUACCAGGCAAUCGGUUCCGUCGAAUGCCUUUCCACCACACCUUUGCCGACUGUUUACAAGCAGCGUACGGCUAGGUGUGCCCUUCCUCACUCCACAACGCACAGAUCCCCGAAGGGGGUCUCACUCUCGGUUCGUCACCAGCAGCUUGCCGGCACCGACCAAUCACCAAUUUCUUUAGGUAGGCGACAUACCACCACGACUUAUGCAUGCUGGGUAAGUCUCUGACCUGCGUCCUGGUCUCUACUAUACUAAUAUGUAAAUAGUAGUAAAAAGACCACAAGCAAAUGCAUACAAAUGCUCAAACUACUUCAUGAUAGAAUGUAUGAUUGCUUUAAUUAAAUCAUACCUGCGGUAACAUCACCAACAGCAGCAGGUCCCUCGACAAGAGCCGCGUAUCCAGGGCCGCUUGGCGCCUCCUGUGAAUCCUCCGGCUGCUCGACCACCCCGAGCCCUCCAGACUGUGCCACAGGCUGCACAUCCACCAUCUGUCCCGAAGAGGUGAAUGUCGACGCUGUCGGCGGGAGUCGUCCAUCGUCCAAGGGGCAAUCAUAUUUCACGUGGCCAGACUGCACGCAACGAAAACACCUUCCUUUUCGCAGCACACACCGCCGCGCCUGGUGGGAUCCUCCACAAAUCACACACCCCGCAGAUACGGCGGUAGCAGAUUUACAAGUUUCCAAUGCAUAGCCAAUACAUUACUAACUCCAUCAACUAUCAUCUCAUUAUAGGGUUCCACAUCACAUAUAUAAACCUCAAGCAUGCUAGAUAUAAGUACUCAGCCAAUAUACAUUAUCUACAAAAAAGAACAUUGCAAGUAUAGGAUCAAACACAUCAUGUUUAUCACCCUAUAAUGACAAGAUGUCAAUUUGUGCUCAAUAUGAUAUUCGCAUUAUACCUUGCAUGUUCUUUGUAAUAAUGUAUUUGGUCUUAUAAAAAGUAUAGAUCUUAAUAUCUUAAGAGAGUUCUGCCUCUCGAGUGGAUGGGUGUAUGGAUUCCUUACCUACGUAUGUCAGCUAACCUUAUAGCGAAAUUCUAUUAAGCUCGUGGUCGUCACUCUCGAAUUCUGGCCGUCCUGCGGCCUGCAUUGCCACACGGCUCACCCAUACUCACGAUAGCGGACUGCAAUGCACCUCCUAAUCCGCAUCGACAUCCGUUCUGUUUUGGAGUUUAUUCCCGACACCGUGCUUACGAUUCCACUUACAGUGAAUUUUUGGAAGCUUCUGCCGCGAGCUGCGCAAUCUGUACCAAAAUCGGCUUCUUCUUCGAUAUUUUGUAACGCUCGACGGCAUCUUGCCAACCGUCAGCUUGUUCCAACGCGUUUCAGCGCUAUCAUUAGCGUUUUAUUACAAACCAUUUAGAUCAAACCCAUCUAAUUUGCAAAAUAGCAUUUUGAGCUAGAUUUGCUACUAUGCAAAAAUCCACCAUUAAAGCUUUUAGGAUUCAAGCAUCAAACCUUUAAUUAGUAUGCUAGAGUACUCUAACCCAUUCUUAAGAGUUCAAACCCAAACUAUAGUAAAGCUUACCAUUGUUGAGCAUCAAAAUUCUUACUUUAGAGCUUGCUCCAAUGGCCUAAGAGGUAAGAAGAAGAAGAUGGAAGCCACUCUCUUCAAGUCUUUCUCUCCAUCUCCACUUCUUGCUAACUUUUAGAGAAAGAAAUGAGAGAUUUUAGGAGAGAGGAGAGCGGGCUUACGGUUGAGGGAAAUGAGAAGGGACGAGAGAGCAUCCCCUCUCUUUGUCUCUAAGUCUAUGUAACAAAUACAAUAAGCCCCCUCAACGUCUUAGCUCUCAAACCAGCCCAAAAUCUGGCAUUUUCGCGCUCGGGGACGGUCCUUGCGGUCGAGAGACCGCGUCCGAAGCGACCAGAAAUUUCAGCAGGUUUUAGGCUUAGCCAAAUUUACCUUUAUUUUCACGUUUCUUCUCGUUUUUCGCCCAGUUUUCGCUCGUUGACCUCCGCAUUCGUUUCAAUCGAACGAGGCCUCUUUUUCAAACAUGUUUUCGAGCAUGUUUUUAUUAUCUUUUCAUCCACGCUAUGUCGGAUUUUAGCUUCACUGGCCACAUGCCUUUCGGCUCCGGUUUUUAGCGGCCUACGCACACCGAAACCCCGAAUGGCUUCCGGGCCUCAACCGAAUUUCCCGGAACCUUGCAAAUGUCGUUCUCACCAAAUGUACCACCGUAACUUCAUGAUUUUAAAAGUCCGAAUCACCUUUUACAUCCACCCCUCCUUAAAAGGACUUUCGUCUCGAAACUAACUCACAUCAACCCAAUUCAACCUCAAUUCUCUUUUUCAUUGAGUACAAGGGGUACAGCUGACUUUGCAUCCACGAGUUGGCCUUGCCGCUUAUUGAACUAUCGAAGGCCACUACGGACGGACGUGAGACUAAAUUCGCUCACAUCGCGUGUGUGUAAGUCCAAAACGUGCAUUACGAGGUCUCGGUCAUUCCUGGGUGUAGCGCAAGUCGAAACUUCAACACGACUCUACGGCCCUCCACACCAUUCACUAACUUGGCCCAACUACGGCCGAAACCACUUCCUGUCAGCCGGACCUACCGUAUCCUCAUGGUGUGGAGCUAUCAAGAACGCACAUAGUCAUAUGGUUCCCACACACACGACACAAGCACACACGGGUAAGCCCUCUAGAUCCCUGAGUGUCAACCAAGCGGCGCUCCCGCCACUUUGCUAUCCAAGAGUUCGUAUUUCUCAUUUACGGAUCUUCGUCAACUUUCACACAUCCCUCUUAGCGCGCGUCACAUCCAAUUCGAUCACAAUAUCGCUUAGAAGCAAUUAUAUUGGUGCAUUCGCCCACUGCGAGUGCCCAUCCAAUCGCAUUUUUGGAUCUUGUGGCUCUAUUGAGAGAUGCCAUACUCCGAGCGCAUCUCGAAUCUUAAUCCACAAAGAGCAUUAUCCUCAAGCUACUCCAACCCCUCCACAUGACGCCAGCCUGCUGAGGCAAAUUUCCGCUCCGGGGGACCGGUCUCUCCCUGCCUGGCGGGACCGGUCCAGAGGGACCUCCUCAAUCUCACCGUGUUCGCGGAACGGUCCCUCUGGCCUAGGGGACGGUUGCCAUCGCCUGCUGCCACAGCCUCAGCCUCGAGCGCAACCGGUCCUUCCCUCCUGCGACGGUCCGAGAGCAGCUCGCUAGUAGACAACCGUUCGCGAAUUCCGCGUCCUCCCACAGGGACGAUCCCGAGAGCAAUUUGCCAAAGUGCAAAUUCUUGCACAUAUUGCUCUCGCGGGACUCAUGUAAUGCACUUUUUGGUGCAUUUUACUUCUUCGGCUUCCGAGCACCUCACUCGACAAUUAGUCGAUUUUGAGUGAAGUCCAACUCUCGAUUUUGAGAAUUCACUUCCUUGCACCAACUCCUCCACGGAGUUACUCGGCAUAACCGAUUUGUCGGCUUUCACAGCGGAAUAGUGGACCAACAGUCAACCAACACCACGUGAGGCCUACUGCCUUAAACUGUUGUAAAUAUGCAUAGCGUCUCUCGCUCGAUCGUAGACCCAAUCAUCAUUGGGCGACAAUUCUCAUUUUGGAGAAUUCGCAACACUCCAACUAGGAGCAACCAAGACCCCAAAACACGUCAAGUCUCGGGUUGGUCGUCACAAACCGCAUCUCAUCAGAUGCAAUCAUCAAUUUCACGAUCCAACACGUGCAUUCACAACACUCAAGUACUAAGUACGAUACUACUCGUACUAAGACAAAACUCCCGCAAAUAACAUAAUAGGUAUAAAUAGCGUUGCUUCGCAGCUGACCAGCCUGCCAAAUGGACCAAGAGGAAUACACAGUCACAAAAGAGAAUCAGAGCACGGGAUAGAUCCAACACAAGCAACUAAAUCCUACCCGCUAACGUCGUCUACACGACACAGCUCUACAGAGUACGCACGUUCUACCGGCUCUAGGCACCUAAUUGCGAGCACUAGCCUACGAGUGAUACUUCGCCCGCUUCACACUUAGUUAAGGAUUUUAUAGGUUGGCGAAUUUCGUAACAGUUGUUGGAGUCUUGAAGAGUUGAUCGCAGAAUUAUUCAAAUGGAGAACGGAAGUCAUUCGGAAAAGCUCGAAAGCUCACACCUAGGUAAUGAAGAAAAGAUCAUUUGUGGUGAAGAUACCUAAUUAGAAUAAAGUUCAGAAGGCUUAAUUGCUUUAAAAUAAUUUUUGACUUUUCAUUGUGUUUUUGGGACCGGUCCCUUGAAGUGGAGAGACGGUCCCCUAAUUCGUCCUCACUCCGUGAGUUUGAUUGCAACCGGUCCCCUGAGUGAAGAGACCGGUUCCCGAUCUUGGUAGUUCUGUCGCGCAGCGAGGGACCGGUCUCAAGGCUUUGGAAUGAGACCGCGAUUCCGAACACUGAGGUUUAUUGAACACGCAGAGAGGGGCCGGUUCCUCACUUGAUAGACGGCGUCUCUCACAGCGACCGCGUCUCUCGCAGAAGACCGGUUCUCUGAGAAGACGACACAGGUUUUUAUAAACCCGACUAUUUUGCAAUUCCUAGUCUACUUCUAAGUCUUCUAAACAUAUAAAUAAGCUAUGGUGCGGUAUCUAAAAAUUAACGGCUUUGAAUAUUUACCAAUUCUAAACCCUAAGAAACUUAUUCUCUCGCUUUCAAUUGUUAGAUUUACAUAUGAGUUUCUAGCAAUCAAAUCGGCUUACAUUCUUUUUUACUCAAUAUUCUACGAGAAUCAAGUAGAUGUUUUGAUAAAAGUGGUGAACUCCCAUUAGCUAUAUGGUUUUUCAAAAGUUAAAUCACCACAAAUCUUCGAUUCUAAAGUCGGGAAGGAGGUCGCUGGGUGGGAUCUCGCUGUUGAAGCCGAGGAUUCGUGUGAGCUUCGAGGAGUUGAAUGCAUUGACGCUCGUUGGAGUUGCCCAGAGCAAUGGUCGAUUGGUGGAUUCCCUACCGAUCUGAGGACGCAAAGAUCACCGAUCAACAGAAAUCGCCGUAAAUUGGAGUCGUUGUAUUUUCGUCAAUCACUUGUACUCGAGUUUUUCUUUCUGGAUUUUCUUUGCGUGAUCCGGUUCCGUGGGUUUUUCACUCGAUUGGCAGUUUUCCCACCGUUAAAUUCUCGGAUUGUGCUGUUUUAAUUUUUGCUAACUUUAUUUGUUUGCAUCGGGUUUUUCGAGUUUGCCGGAUUUACACCUAUUCACCCCCUCUCUAGGUGUUACUUACCUUUUAGCUCCUUGGGAUCCAUAUCUCACAAAGUAGGUAUCAGAGCGGGUAUAGGCUGUAAUACAUGGCUGAGGCAGGUAACACAAUCGACCCGCUCCUUCAGGAUGGCCACUAACUACGCCUAUUGAAAAGGUUCCGGUUAGGCUUCUUAUGCCUAUGACGAGGGGUUGGCAAUGCCAUGAAUUCGGAUGAAAAAUUACCUACCGAAGUAAUCGAGAAUGUUACGUGUGUCCGAAAACCUAGAAAUAAAAUGGACGAAAAGAGGAAAAUGAAUAUCUUCGUUCAACGAAAAGGUAUCCAAUGCUUUAUCAGAUGCUUAAAUCAAAAUUGAAUUUUUCGCGGUUUCUCUGGCGUUGCUGAAACGGCCCAAGAGAAUUUGCCGGACACUUUGCGAGUUACACAACGAGGUACAGCUUGGUUUAGAUUCAAAAAUUGCAAAUGCUUCACUAGUUAGAUUUGAAUCCAUCCAUAUGGAAGAACAUGAAUCUAUUUACCGAGUACUAUACUCGUUUGCAAGACAUUGUAACAGUUGUGCUAACUUGGGUGCGAGAAAAUUUCCGUAUUCCAAAAUUGUUCGAAAAUUUGAGAACGCGCUUCCCGAACCGAUUCCGUCCUAAGGUUUGGGUAUUUGAAACGGUCAAACAAUACUGAUGAACUCAAAGCUAGAAGAAUUUAGUAAGGUGUUUUUCAAAACUUUAUGAAAUGACUUUUUCCUUCUAAUUCGUUUCUUCCAAGUCUUUUUCUAAAGCUUCAGGAUGCUCUUAAAAUCAACAAAAGAGAUGUCACUUCACCUUCAUCAGAUUCAGAGUCGGUAGCAAAGGCCUUGGAGGACUUGAGAAACAAACUUGCACUUCUAACAAAUAGAAGUUUCGUCGGAACUCUUAGAAAGAAGUUUUCCUUCCAAGUCUACUUCAUCCAAGACAAACAAAUCUAAGGGGUUCGUCUUCUUCUUCUCAACAAAAUACAAGAAAUAUCUGAUAACUCUUCAAAGCGACUCCACAAAGAGGAAGAAAGUUUAUUCAGAGCCAGAGGUCACGGGCCGUUCGGAUCCUGCAUGCUGCAAAUGUGUGCAGUUGCUGGAGGGGUGAUUUGGCUUAAAUGGGCCAAGCAUCCUGCCCUGUGGCGGGGGCAUGGGGCGAGUCUUAUGUUUCGAAAUGGCGUGUCACGCCCCGCGACCGCUACCAAUUUGGCUCGGCCCGGGCACGUCGAACAGACGCCGGACGGACAGCACCUCCCCUGUCCGCCCAAGGCUAACAACGAGAUUGUGUACAACAAGUUCCCAGGAAAAUAACUUGAAUACAUACACAAUCGAUAACUACAACGAGAGCACAAUCAGUGCAAAACAACCAAGAGCAAGAUACAAGUAUAGAACAUACAAGUAAUGAUAAAGAGAGAGCAUCUAUCUAUUACAUUCAUUCAGCCUUUAUAAUACAAUUCGAUUAUACAUUGAACUUCCAGAACAGAGUAUAAAGCUUACAUCUUCCAAAAUAUAACAUUAGCUUACAUUCAUUCCAGAAUAUCUCACAUCCUAUACAUCAUCUACUCUCAAAGCAUAAAAGGUGACUCUAAUGCAGAAAUAGGAAAGUAGACUAAUGCAACUAGGGCGCUAAGCCCUUACCGCGAUCCUCGCCGUGUGAACUCGCGCUCGGCCCUGUAGUAAAAUGGGGGUGAGAACUAACUUCCUUAGUUCCCAGUGGGUUCGGCCGCCGACUCCGCCGAUCUCCCCACUAGGUCCAAGUCGGGCACAAGUAGAUAAUCGAUAGAUAGAUAGAUAAGGAAAGCGGUAAAUGACAGGAGUAAAGCUACUCUACUAUGCCCAAUCAUAAAUAUAUGAAUGCAUGUACAAUGAAAUAGGUAAGCAACUAACCUGUUAUCAUGUCCAAAGGUGAAGCUAUUCACUCGUUCAUUAACCUCAUUUACUUGUUCAUUAAUCUCAUGGCUUACCCGAAGGCUCGCCUACAGCUCACUAGCCAUCUCGACACGUAGGGAGAAUUAACUCACACUACGGACCCGAGACCGUCUGGCGGGGCCAUAUAGGCAAUCCCUGGCGUGACCAACAUCCGGAGCGCACUACUUGUGUGGGGCUUCCAUCACAAGAUUUAACAGACCGUGAGCAUGAUCAAAUCCUCUAAGCUCGAGGAUACCCUGUCCUCUAGUGUCACAAUCAUCAUAUAGUCCAUAGGUUUUCCAUACGCUACGACUCAUAUGUAUCAUCUGUUCUUUUGCUUACUAUCAACUAAAUGCCACUCGUUCAUUUGUUUACUAUCAACUAGAUGCCACUCGUUCAUUAUUCAUCAUUUUCUCUACAUUAUAGGAUUCACAAAACUCGACCCAAUCCUCACUAAUCCUCUAGAUCCAAUAUCCAAUACAUGCUACAAUAUCAUCAAGGAAGGCAUAAGGAAAGGCAAUGCAGCAUAAUCCUAUAAUGCAAUAAUACAAGAUGCAAGGAUCAAAAUAUACUAAGACAUAGGAGGGAGCCCGAUUGCUUCGGGAUGGGCACCACCCACCUCUUGGCGAGGCCGCGAUAGUAGAAAGCUCGACGUUGCGAUUCCUGGACGCCGCUUGAACUCCUCGGGGCAAAGCGAGCCCUCAAGUACCCGAUUCGGCGAUUUCUCCGCACCCGCUCGUCGGAUCGGCAAACCGUUUUCGCCGACGCGUUCCGAGACCUAGCAAUUAGGUUUACGACCUAUUAAAAUAAAUCAAAACCCUAAAUUUCCCAAAACCCCAAUCCGUGCCCUAGAAUGGCAACGGGAAGGAAAUCCGCGGUGCGAGCUUCGAUUGUGAGCUCGAACCUUCUAUUUAUCCCUAAUAGGUUCCAUUCGAACCAAUUCUAAACCUUAAAAACCCAAAACCCUAAAAUCACCAUUAAAGGGUUGGAAGCUUACCUCUAACCUAAACUCCAAGCUUGAGGGAGAGGGAGAGAAGAUGAUAUCUUCUUCUUCUUCUUCUUAGUCUUCUCUUUCUCUUUCUUCUUCUUUCUCUUAUUCUUCUCCUUCCUCUUCUUCUUCUCCUUCUUCUCUUCCUUUUCUUUUCUUUCUUAGAGAGAGAGAGAAAAGAGGGUAAGAGAGAGAGAGAAAGCAGCUGAGAGUGAGAGAGAGGGUCCCCCACCUCUAAUAAAGGCCAUUUUGCAUAAAAGCCCCUCAACUUUCACCCUAGUGCACUACCCUCACUGGGCAGUUUUCGCGCGGAGGGACCGGUCUCCCCGACUUGGGACCGGUCCCCGAAGGCUGCCACUUCGAGCAGAGGGAUUUUCGCGUUCGAGAACCGGUCCUUGCCUGAGAGACCGGUCCCCGGGAGACCGGUCCUUGUCCGAGAGACCGGUUCCCGAGAGCUGCAUUCUCGGGACUUAGCCAAAUUUGGCUAAGUCUCGCCAGGCCAACGUUCGGGAACCGGUCCCUGCCCAUCAGGGACCGGUCUCAUCAGAGACCUCCGCAACCCAGCCUGAUGGAACCGGUCCCUCCCUGCUAGGGACCGGUCCCCGAGAGCAUUUCUGCUCCAGUGCAGAUUUUGCACUGGUGCUCCCGCGGACCCUUCUUUAAUGCACUUUAUGCAUUAUAAUCGCCUUCGGACUUUCCGAAGCCUACACCCUCGACGAAUAGUCGAUUCUAAUCGAAGUCUAAU
This 15023-nucleotide long non-coding RNA is filed under the name Ananas comosus (pineapple). Its description in RNAcentral is "long non-coding RNA (ACOM_LNC015082)". Lineage: Eukaryota; Viridiplantae; Streptophyta; Magnoliopsida; Poales; Bromeliaceae. The record is from RNAcentral.